AGUGAACGCUGGCGGUAGGCCUAACACAUGCCAGUCGAACGGCAGCACAGUAAGAGCUUGCUCUUACGGGUGGCGAGUGGCGGACGGGUGAGGAAUACAUCGGAAUCUACUUUUUCGUGGGGGAUAACGUAGGGAAACUUACGCUAAUACCGCAUACGACCUACGGGUGAAAGCAGGGGAUCUUCGGACCUUGCGCGAUUGAAUGAGCCGAUGUCGGAGUAGCUAGUUGGCGGGGUAAAGGCCCACCAAGGCGACGAUCCGUAGCUGGUCUGAGAGGAUGAUCAGCCACACUGGAACUGGGACACGGUCCAGACUCCUACGGGAGGCAGCAGUGGGGAAUAUUGGACAAUGGGCGCAAGCCUGAUCCAGCCAUACCGCGUGGGUGAAGAAGGCCUUCGGGUUGUAAAGCCCUUUUGUUGGGAAAGAAAAGCAGCAGGUUAAUACCCCGCUGUUCUGACGGUACCCAAAGAAUAAGCACCGGCUAACUUCGUG
RNAcentral lists this ribosomal RNA (492 nucleotides) under uncultured bacterium. Its description in RNAcentral is "partial 16S ribosomal RNA". It matches the Rfam family "Bacterial small subunit ribosomal RNA", at positions 29 to 507 of the family's 1533-position model. The record is from RNAcentral.